RNAcentral lists this small nuclear RNA (114 nucleotides) under Chinchilla lanigera (long-tailed chinchilla). Its description in RNAcentral is "U4 spliceosomal RNA (ENSCLAG00000020740.1)". It matches the Rfam family "U4 spliceosomal RNA". From Rfam's summary of the family: U4 small nuclear RNA (U4 snRNA) is a component of the major U2-dependent spliceosome. The structure of U4 snRNA from yeast and human has been reported. U4 snRNA presents a k-turn RNA motif in the 5p-SL related to recognition of Snu13 protein. Lineage: Eukaryota; Metazoa; Chordata; Mammalia; Rodentia; Chinchillidae. The record is from Rfam by way of RNAcentral.
AGCUUUGCGCAGUGGUAGUAUCGGAGCCAGUGAGGUUUAUCCAAGGCGCGAUUAUUGCUAAUUAAAACUCAUAUGUGUGUACUUUAUAUAUACUUGUCAAAACACAGUCCUGUG